RNAcentral lists this long non-coding RNA (577 nucleotides) under Callithrix jacchus (white-tufted-ear marmoset). RNAcentral describes it as "lncRNA (ENSCJAG00000075586.1)". Lineage: Eukaryota; Metazoa; Chordata; Mammalia; Primates; Cebidae. The record is from RNAcentral.
GAAAAUCAGAGUAGAUGUUCCAUAUUUCUUUAUGUUUCAUUUUGCUGUUAUUUGCCAAGCGUAUUCAGGGUACCAAAUUAAGUAUUGAUUGAUGGUAGCAGUGAUAACAUUAAGACGUGGAGAUCAGGUUAAAGACAGAUAUGCACCAUGAAUCCAUAAUUGAGUAAGUCAGAAGGAAAUUUAAUUAGCCUUUUUCCUGUGUCCAUUGCAGUGCUUUAAUAAGAACAACAGAGAAUUCUUUUUUUUUCUUUUAAUUUGCUAAUCCAGGAUGUUCUCAAUGCUUUUAUGGACGUCAGCUAGCUAAAUACCUUGAGAGAAUAGCAAUACCAUCAAGUUACAUCUGUUUGUGACAUUUUCUCUAUGAUGGGACUAACAAAUUUGAUCUGUAUUAACUGAUUUUAAUAUGUAUUAACUCACACUUAUUGCACUACAACAAGAUUUUUGUCUUCUUAGCUCUUCUCUUCUUUGGGAAAUUACUCCAGGAUUUGAAUGGUCACAAGAGAUUCACCAGAGGAUUUUAUACACUUGGUCUGUGGCAGCAGAUUAAUUACACCACAACACCAGGUGACCAAAGCAU